UCGGGCUGGUUGGAACACCCAGCAGAACAAACAAAAAAGAAAAUGAAGACAAAACCGUAAAGAAAAUCAAACGAAGCUCAAUAGAAGGAGUUUUCAGCAUCUGCAGGAAAUAGCUCGAUGAAAGGUUAAAGCUGAAGAGGGACGGGACAGGGGAGUACUACCAGAUGAAAGAUUUAGAACCCCUGAAAAAUGAAGGUCAAUCCUCGCCUUUGAAGUAGGGUCAAUGAAAUGCCGGUCAGAAUUUGCAGCAAGGAGGACAGAAUCCGGAGCGUCUUCCACCCAAAACUUAUCUUCUAUACACUUGGAGCCUUCCUCGGCCAUUGCAUGUGCCGCCUGGUUGCAUGUUCUCCCAGUAAUGCUAAACGAACAAGAGCGGAACUGGCUAGCAAGGGCCUUGGCCUCUCCAAUCAGGUGACCAACAUCGGACAGAUCAAUCGAUUCUUUUUGGAUUUUUGAGAUAAUCGCUUUAGAAUCACUUUCCAGCACUAUCGAGUGGAGGCCAAGAUCAAGAGCAAAUUAGAGGCCAUGAACCACAGCUUGAGCUUCAGCAAGGAUCGCCGAGGAGAAGCUGGCAUCAACGUUGAUCUUUAAUAGCGGGGGGAGAGGAGGUUGCCAUCGGGACAAAAUAUGAGUAUGAGGGUGUCUCAGAGUAGCCGAUAGAGAAUCAAUCUCGGCUAAGUGACUGCGAAUAGAGGUGGGACAGUCGGCAGUGACAGUGCAGAAUAGGCGGCGACAACAGACAUCAUAUUCCUAGGGUUAGGGUUUUAGAAACCUUAGGGAGUCAGGUCGGAUCCGAAUUCGGGUCGAAUGAUGGGCGGGUUAGUUUAUGGAACUGGGUUCUGGAACUGGAUCUACUGAGUGGUUGCUGGAUCUGUAUUUGGGUUUGUUGGGUUGUUUGGGUUGGUUAUCUGGGUUGUCUGUUUUGGGCCUCGGGUAGGUUGUAUUGGGCUUGUUUGUCUGGGCUCCUGGUGGGCUGUUGUAAUUUUGGGCUUCAAG
Long non-coding RNA from Hibiscus syriacus, 996 nucleotides. RefSeq lists it as uncharacterized. The transcript has 3 exons. The record is from RefSeq and is a predicted model, not a curated record. Lineage: Eukaryota; Viridiplantae; Streptophyta; Magnoliopsida; Malvales; Malvaceae.